CCACAAACAAACGAAAGUGUUACAGUAGCGAAAUCUAAAAAAAAUUCACAUGUAAACAAGGCCUAAGAUGUGGACGUGCCGUCUACCUCCGUGUCGCACCACCAUCUCUCUGUGUGUGUGUGAUGGGCUGCUUCACAACUCGUGCUGUGUCGCGUGUGCGUUCGGUGUUUUAUGUCUUCUCCAUGAGAUCAGCGAUUCCUCGGUUCGGCCCAUCAUGUAUAAAGCCAAUGAUUUAGAUAUAUUUUGAAGAGAACAGUAGGGGAAUCUCCUACCUAUAUUUUUUUGUAUUUCAAUUAAAUGAAAGAAUGAGGAGAGGCAAAAGAAAAAAACGAAGAGAAAGAAAAAGUACAGGGCAACCAGGCCCAAAAAGAAAAAGUACAACAAAGCUAUGGAUGAAAAUUGUCUCGCCCCGGGAUUAAAGGAGUCCGUCGUUUCUCAUUGGCCUUGAUACACACCAGGUCCAAUUCUUCUUUGAAUUUUCUUCUCCAAAUGGGGACGCUACAUUGUCCAUUAUAAAAAAUUAUGGAGUUUCUCAGAGUCCAUAUUGCUCAGCAAGCAGUAAUAACUGCUUCUCUGAAGAUUUGGCUUCCAAACUGGUCUCUAACAUUCACCAUCAUAUCCAGUGGAGGCAAGUUAAGAUUCCAGCUAAUUGGGAUGGAGCCCCA
This 665-nucleotide long non-coding RNA is filed under the name Sorghum bicolor (sorghum). RNAcentral describes it as "long non-coding RNA (SBIC_LNC013847)". The record is from RNAcentral. Lineage: Eukaryota; Viridiplantae; Streptophyta; Magnoliopsida; Poales; Poaceae.